This 701-nucleotide ribosomal RNA is filed under the name Azorhizophilus sp. SS16. Its description in RNAcentral is "bacterial SSU rRNA". It matches the Rfam family "Bacterial small subunit ribosomal RNA", at positions 35 to 740 of the family's 1533-position model. Lineage: Bacteria; Pseudomonadati; Pseudomonadota; Gammaproteobacteria; Pseudomonadales; Pseudomonadaceae. The record is from RNAcentral. RNAcentral also lists the same sequence under 1 other name.
ACUUGGGGGGGGGCUUCCCAUGCGGUCGAGCGGUCGACAGAGAGAGCGUCUCCUGACACGAAGGUCGGCCGCCAAGGCAUAUCUGACUGCCUGGGAGAGGGGGAGGCGACUUUGGCGAACGCGGUACCGCGUAAUUCCCACCGCAAAACGCAAGUGAGCUUCCUUCCUUGCCCUAGCAAAUGAGCCUGGGUACCAUUCCGCCAUUGGUGAGGGAGGGGCUCACCCAGGCGGGAUCCGGAUCUGGUCGGAGAGGAAGAUCAGUCACACUGCUCUGAUGAGAGUCCAGACUAAUCUGGAAGGCAGCAGUGGGGAAUAUUGGACAAUGGGCGAAAGCCUGAUCCAGCCAUGCCGCGUGUGUGAAGAAGGUCUUCGGAUUGUAAAGCACUUUAAGUUGGGAGGAAGGGCAGUUACCUAAUACAUGAUUGUUUUGACGUUAUUAACAGAAUAAGCACCGGCUAACUCUGUGCCAGCAGCCGCGGCAUACAGAGGGUGCAAGCGUUAAUCGGAAUUACUGGGCGGAGAGCGCGCGUAGGUGGUUUGUUAACUUGGAUGUGAAAUCCCCGGGCUCAACCCUGGGAACUGCUUUCUAAACUGACUGACUAGAAUAUGGUAGAGGGAGGGGGGAAUUUUCCUGUGUAGCGGUGAGUGCGUAGAUAUAGGAAGGAACACCACUGGCGGAAGGAGACCACCCGGACUACUAA